CAUAUCAAUAAGCGGAGGAAAAGAAACCAACAGGGAUUGCCCCAGUAACGGCGAGUGAAGCGGCAACAGCUCAAAUUUGAAAUCUGGCCCCAGGCCCGAGUUGUAAUUUGCAGAGGAUGCUUUUGGCGCGGUGCCUUCCGAGUUCCCUGGAACGGGACGCCAUAGAGGGUGAGAGCCCCGUACGGUUGGACACCAAGCCUUUGUAAAGCUCCUUCGACGAGUCGAGUAGUUUGGGAAUGCUGCUCUAAAUGGGAGGUACAUUUCUUCUAAAGCUAAAUAUUGGCCAGAGACCGAUAGCGCACAAGUAGAGUGAUCGAAAGAUGAAAAGCACUUUGAAAAGAGGGUUAAACAGCACGUGAAAUUGUUAAAAGGGAAGCGCUUGUGACCAGACUUGCGUCCGGUGAAUCACCCAGCUCUCGCGGCUGGGGCACUUCGCCGGCACAGGCCAGCAUCAGCUUGCCGUCGGGGACAAAAGCUUCAGGAACGUGGCUCCUCUCGGGGAGUGUUAUAGCCUGUUGCAUAAUACCCUUCGGCGGGCUGAGGUACGCGCUCCGCAAGGAUGCUGGCGUAAUGGUCAUCAGCGACCCGUCUUGAAACACGGACCAAGGAGUCAACCUUAUGUGCGAGUGUUUGGGUGUUAAACCCCUACGCGUAAUGAAAGUGAACGCAGGUGAGAGCUUCGGCGCAUCAUCGACCGAUCCUGAUGUUCUCGGAUGGAUUUGAGUAAGAGCAUAUAGGGUUGGACCCGAAAGAAGGUGAACUAUGCGUGUGUAGGGUGAAGCCAGAGGAAACUCUGGUGGAGGCUCGCAGCGGUUCUGACGUGCAAAUCGAUCGUCAAACAUGCGCAUGGGGGCGAAAGACUAAUCGAACCUUCUAGUAGCUGGUUCCGC
RNAcentral lists this ribosomal RNA (890 nucleotides) under Colletotrichum acutatum. RNAcentral's name for it is "LSU rRNA". It matches the Rfam family "Eukaryotic large subunit ribosomal RNA", at positions 39 to 960 of the family's 3401-position model. The record is from RNAcentral. Lineage: Eukaryota; Fungi; Ascomycota; Sordariomycetes; Glomerellales; Glomerellaceae.